GGAGGGAGUUGGGAGGAAAGCGGCGGCGGUGGCGGCUUCAACAGCAGCUCUUGCCCUUAAGGAACAAUGAAACACAAAGAUGGUGCAGACCCAGGCCCUGCUUUGACUGGGAGAAAGAUGCAUUCAGUUGACUAAAACUUGAAGCUUGGUGGCAUGCAUGUUUAGUCCCAGCUACACAGCAGGGAGGCUGAGGCUGAAGGAAUACUUGAGCCCAGGAAUUCAAGACUAGCCUGCACAACAUAGUGAGACCCUGACUUUAAAAUAAAUUUAAAAAAAUUAAAAGCAACAAGACUUUCUGCUUGUAUAUGAUGAUGUUAGUAUGCUGACUUACAAGGUUAGAUCAUUUUGAUAUGUGUGAUGUAGGUUUUCAAAGCUGGCACUGUUUUAUGCUUCAAAUAUUAUUUUUAUUCAUUGGUUCUCAUGGGAUUUCAUCACUAAGCUGUAAAUCAAUAAUCAUAAUGUUGAGGGGAGGGGAUUACAAAAUAGCUCUUCAAAAUCAUCUUUGCAUUUCUCAAUAAACAGCAUUCCCUUUUGGACUACAGUGAAAAAUAUUGAGCUUUGUUUACUUUGAAAAUGAGUCUUAGUCUAUGAAUGCCUGGGUAGGGUCAAGAAUGAAAAAUGAGAGGAAGAGAGAAGCAUCAGGAAGAUAAAAUGAUCAAUCUCACAAAACUUGCUAUUUUUAGAAAGCAUCAUUCUAAUUUUGAAACCAAAAAAAUGGGGAAAAACAGAGUAAUGGAAUAAUAGAAUGCCUCAUGUACAAAAGCAACAAUUUCAGAGAUGAUCUAAAACAACUUAUUAGUUAUAGGAAGAAAUAUACCUGAAAAGGGCAAAAAUAAGUUGGGUUUGGCCUCUUGUCACUGAAAUUAUCUACUAAAUCUAACAGCAUCUAUGUUCCUUUAGCUGUUGUGUAUAUUGUACACAAAUGUGAAACCAUAACUCAUAUUUUACCUAUAACAAUUUGCAAUAAAUAACUAAUUA
This 978-nucleotide long non-coding RNA is filed under the name Homo sapiens (human). RNAcentral's name for it is "HSALNT0409437". The record is from RNAcentral. Lineage: Eukaryota; Metazoa; Chordata; Mammalia; Primates; Hominidae.